This 489-nucleotide ribosomal RNA is filed under the name uncultured bacterium. RNAcentral's name for it is "bacterial SSU rRNA". It matches the Rfam family "Bacterial small subunit ribosomal RNA", at positions 30 to 506 of the family's 1533-position model. The record is from RNAcentral.
AUUGAACGCUGGCGGCAGGCCUAACACAUGCAAGUCGAGCGGUAACAGGAAAUAGCUUGCUAUUUUGCUGACGAGCGGCGGACGGGUGAGUAACGCGUAGGAAUUUGCCCAGUAGUGGGGGAUAGCCCGGAGAAAUUCGGAUUAAUACCGCAUACGCCCUAAGGGGGAAAGCAGGGGAUCUUCGGACCUUGCGCUAUUGGAUAAGCCUGCGUGAGAUUAGCUAGUUGGUGAGGUAAGGGCUCACCAAGGCGACGAUCUCUAGCUGGUCUGAGAGGAUGAUCAGCCACACUGGAACUGAGACACGGUCCAGACUCCUACGGGAGGCAGCAGUGGGGAAUAUUGCACAAUGGGCGAAAGCCUGAUGCAGCCAUGCCGCGUGUGUGAAGAAGGCUCUAGGGUUGUAAAGCACUUUCAGUAGGGAGGAAAAGUCGAUAGUUAAUACCUAUCGGCCGUGACGUUACCUACAGAAGAAGCACCGGCUAACUCCGU